GGAGAGGUGGCCGAGUGGUUGAAGGCGGUCGUCUCGAAAACGACUAGGGGUUCAAAAGGCCUCUCGUGGGUUCAAAUCCCACCCUCUCCGCCA
RNAcentral lists this transfer RNA (93 nucleotides) under Chloroflexota bacterium. RNAcentral describes it as "Chloroflexi bacterium tRNA-Ser". It matches the Rfam family "tRNA". From Rfam's summary of the family: Transfer RNA (tRNA) molecules are approximately 80 nucleotides in length. Their secondary structure includes four short double-helical elements and three loops (D, anti-codon, and T loops). Further hydrogen bonds mediate the characteristic L-shaped molecular structure. tRNAs have two regions of fundamental functional importance: the anti-codon, which is responsible for specific mRNA codon recognition, and the 3' end, to which the tRNAs corresponding amino acid is attached (by aminoacyl-tRNA synthetases). tRNAs cope with the degeneracy of the genetic code in two manners: having more than one tRNA (with a specific anti-codon) for a particular amino acid; and 'wobble' base-pairing, i.e. permitting non-standard base-pairing at the 3rd anti-codon position. The record is from RNAcentral. RNAcentral also lists the same sequence under 3 other names. Lineage: Bacteria; Bacillati; Chloroflexota.